This is a long non-coding RNA of Bufo gargarizans (Asiatic toad), 933 nucleotides long. RefSeq lists it as uncharacterized. NCBI's taxonomy places the organism in Eukaryota, Metazoa, Chordata, Amphibia, Anura, Bufonidae. The transcript is spliced from 3 exons. The record is from RefSeq and is a predicted model, not a curated record.
GUUUUUUGUUAUUAUAGCAAUAAACUUUUUAUAGGGAUAUGUUUGUCUACCCUGAUCUGAUGCUUCUUCUGAUUCUUCUCUCUGGACAGUCCAGAAUUGAUACAAAGUAAAUUCAGCAUUCUGACUACCAGGGAAGCAAAGAGCAAAGAAAGGCUUCUGCUGUAAAACUGCUCUGCCCUAUGUAACAACAAUGGCAAUACCUGCCAUACAAUACAGCUGUAUGCACACUGCACAGACCACGGCGGGGAUGAGAACCACAAGCCAGGAACACAGGCUGGAUAUAUGGAAGAAGGCACAGGCACGUAGUGUGAAGAGGAAGGGACCGGCACAUACAGGGUGCAGGGAAGGGGCCAACAUCCCCGGGGACUGGAGAUCCUCUAAUGUUCCCAGUCCGAGCACUCACUGCUCCAGCUCUGCGACAUCACAGGACCGGGUGCGACAUUAUAAGGACACGUCUGUAGGGGCAACAUCAUAGAAAGGGAAUUUUCCGUGUGAUUCUUCCUCCGCUUAUUACACUGUGAUACAAGCGAAUUGCUCCCUUCCUGGAAAACGUGUGUCUGUAUGAAAAUAAUGUAUCUGCUGUGUGUAUGGGUCUCUAUAUAUCUAUCUGUACGUGUGUGCAUGCUUGUAUAUGGCCCUUGUAUUUGUGUGUGUGAUCCUUUGGCUUUGUUGUGUACAUUUAUGUGUCUGUGCUACCUGUAAUAGAGCUGUAUACUAAUAGAGGGAAAUGUCCAGUCUCUGCCACAAUCAUAGACCUGCAUUGUACAACCAUAGACCUGCAUUGUACAGCUGAACAAUCCAUCUUAUUUAAAUGCAUUAUCUAUCUAUCUAUCUAUCUAUCUAUCUAUCUAUCUACCUAUUGUAUAGCUAUCUUUCUAAUAUAUAUUUAUUAUCUAUCUGUAUUAUAUCUAUCUAAUCAUAUCUAUCUAUCUA